Molecule: long non-coding RNA, 158 nt
Organism: Aethalodelphis obliquidens (Pacific white-sided dolphin)
Lineage: Eukaryota; Metazoa; Chordata; Mammalia; Artiodactyla; Delphinidae
Exons: 3
Source: RefSeq, a predicted model, not a curated record
CUUUUGGGAGGUCUGAGUUCUUCUGCCAGGGUUCAGUAGGUGUUCUGUAGAAGUUGUUCCACAUGUAGAUGUAUUUCUGAUGUAUUUGUGGGGAGGAAGGUGAUCUCCAUGGCUUACUCUUCCGCCAUGUUGAAGGUCUCCCUGUUUCAAAUUUUAAU